This 651-nucleotide ribosomal RNA is filed under the name Haplosclerida sp. 2 JV-2020. Its description in RNAcentral is "partial large subunit ribosomal RNA". It matches the Rfam family "Eukaryotic large subunit ribosomal RNA", at positions 77 to 611 of the family's 3401-position model. The record is from RNAcentral. Lineage: Eukaryota; Metazoa; Porifera; Demospongiae; Haplosclerida.
UCCUUAGUAACGGCGAGCGAAGUGGGAACCAGCCCAGGUCUGAAAUCUCCCGGUUGGCUAUUGUCCUGGCCGGGCGAAUUGUGGUCUGGAGAGGCAGACUGUCCCGAUCCACCGCGUGCGAGCCCGAAGUUGACUUGGAACGGCACGCCAAAGAGGGUGAGAGCCCCGUAGGGCAUCUAAAUUGUGUGCGGCGGGACGAGGGUCUGUUCUCGUAGAGUCGGGUUGUUUGGGAAUGCAGCCCAAAGUGGGUGGUAGACUCCAUCCAAGGCUAAAUACGGGCGCGAGACCGAUAGCUGACAAGUACCGUGAGGGAAAGGUGAAAAGCACUUUGAAGAGAGAGUUCAAUAGACCGUGAAACCGUUGGGAGGGAAGCUCAGGGUGUCGAGGUUGUCAUGCUUUGUUGCUGGGUUCAUCUGGUGGCCUGCUGCCAGUGCAUUCUCAGCCAAAGUUGGACCGUCAGUCAGGAAGAGUCUGUGACCUGCUUAUCGAUGUUGGGGAGGUAGGCCUUGUGGUUCCUUCGGGUUCCCGGGGUCACGUAUAGCCCUUCAUCGUGGUCCCAGUCAUCUUUCAGGUGCGUUGGAUGACUAAUCGUCCAUAAUUGGAAGGUGCAGUUUCCCCUUGUGGGAGAUCGGGCCUUCACUGCGGUUGCUU